UACGAAGGGGGCUAGCGUUGUUCGGAAUUACUGGGCGUAAAGCGCACGUAGGCUGAUGAUUAAGUCAGGGGUGAAAUCCCAGGGCUCAACCCUGGAACUGCCUUUGAUACUGGUCGUCUUGAGUACGAGAGAGGUGAGUGGAAUUCCGAGUGUAGAGGUGAAAUUCGUAGAUAUUCGGAAGAACACCAGUGGCGAAGGCGGCUCACUGGCUCGUAACUGACGCUGAGGUGCGAAAGCGUGGGGAGCAAACAGG
Molecule: ribosomal RNA, 253 nt
Filed under: uncultured bacterium
Lineage: Bacteria
Description: partial 16S ribosomal RNA
Rfam family: Bacterial small subunit ribosomal RNA
Source: RNAcentral